AUGUUACAGAAACUCCAGAUACUACUCCCCUUCAGUGGUCUGAGUUGCGCGGCGCUUUUCCGCCUGUCCGGCAGGGGGCGCCGCGCAGAAAGCCGCAGUCCCUCUGCGGAAGGCGCCGCUCUUGGCUUCGGCGGCGCCGCUGUAGCUUGGAGGCGGUGCUUCCUCCAGCAUUUGCCGCGAGUUAUUGGCAAGUUCCCCUGCAGUUGUUUGGGCUGUCGCUGUGGCUGGUUCUGCGGUGUGCGGCCAGCCAUGGAGCGCUCUGGGCCCAGCGAUGUGACAGGCUCAGACGCAUUGGGACCGGACCCGCAGCUUGCGGUCACCAUGGGCUUCACGGGGUUCGGUGAGUGACUGCCCCAGGCAGAGACCCUCUUCCUUUUGCAGAGGUUUGAAGAGCCGCAGAGUGGGAGGGGAGAUCGAGCUGUCAACUCGGAAUUACUGUAGCUCGGGUGCAUACCUUGCAGUUUGUCAAUAUUCUUCUCCCAUUUGUCUUCUAUUCUGUGUAUCCGUUGGAACCAACUCAGGUGACAGUUAUGAGAGUCCUGGAGAGAGAGGAAGAGAAAGGAUUUUUCUAAUUUUAAGUCACCAAUAAUGCUAAAAUGAACAUUUUUGUAAAUAACAGCAUUUGUACGAGGAUUUUUAAAAAUAUGUAAUUCUGUAGGGUAGAUUUCUAAAAGAGAGCCUAGUUUAUUCAGAAGUAUAAAUACUUAAAAAGCUGAAAAAUUGGGUAUGUGCCUUUUAAAGCUUCUUGAUGCUUACUGCCGUAAUACCCAUCAAAAAACUUGUUUCAGGUUAUACCAAAGUUAACAGAAUUUAAGAAUGCCAUUUUUACCAUAUCCGUACCAACACAGAGUAGGUAUUAUUAUUUAAAAAGAAAAUUAUUUAAAAAAUGAAAACAAAACUUUAGUAGACUGAUACAUGAAAAAUGAUUUCUCUUUAUUUUGCAUUUUAAAAUUAUAAAUGCUGUUCAUCCAAACAUUGGGAUUCUAACUUCCCUGAACCUUUUCUCAAGGUCUUCUUGUUCUCUUUUGAGCAGCAUGUAUUAAUUCUAUGAUAGUAAUUAAACAGUAGACUUACACAUAUUGGCCUUGGGUUGUGUUCACACAUACUAGUUCUGUAGUUUUUCUAUUCAUUCUUUUUUUUGGGGAGACGGAGUCUCGCUCAGUCGCCCAGGCUGGAGUGCAGUGGCAAGAUCUCGGCUCACUGCGAGCUCUGCCUCCUGGAUUCACGCAAUUUUCCCGCCUCAGCCUCCCGAGUAGCUGGGACUAUAGGCGCCCGCCACCUCGCCUGGCUAAUUUUUUUUGUAUUUUUAGUAGAGACGGGGUUUCACCGUGUUAGCCA
Molecule: long non-coding RNA, 1338 nt
Filed under: Pan troglodytes (chimpanzee)
Lineage: Eukaryota; Metazoa; Chordata; Mammalia; Primates; Hominidae
Description: lncRNA (ENSPTRG00000053074.1)
Source: RNAcentral